AGUCUCGUAGCUCAGCUGGUUAGAGCGCUACACUGAUAAUGUAGAGGUCGGCAGUUCGAGCCUGCCGAGACUACUA
This 76-nucleotide transfer RNA is filed under the name Riemerella anatipestifer. Its description in RNAcentral is "tRNA-Ile". It matches the Rfam family "tRNA". From Rfam's summary of the family: Transfer RNA (tRNA) molecules are approximately 80 nucleotides in length. Their secondary structure includes four short double-helical elements and three loops (D, anti-codon, and T loops). Lineage: Bacteria; Pseudomonadati; Bacteroidota; Flavobacteriia; Flavobacteriales; Weeksellaceae. The record is from RNAcentral.